Xenia sp. Carnegie-2017 is the source of this 186-nucleotide long non-coding RNA. RefSeq lists it as uncharacterized. NCBI's taxonomy places the organism in Eukaryota, Metazoa, Cnidaria, Anthozoa, Malacalcyonacea, Xeniidae. The record is from RefSeq and is a predicted model, not a curated record. The transcript is spliced from 2 exons.
CAGAAGCCUUAAACAAAACGUUCUCGGAUCGAAUUUCCAAAAUUGAGGCAAUCCAAUGGCAUUUGGAUAGGAAACAACUAUCUUCAACACCAUUGUUUCCCACAUAUCAACAGCAAGAUGUACUGCAAGCAAAAGGUUUAGACAAAGAAAAACAAGCUGCUUCAACAGGUCCUUCAGAUCCAAAAA